CGGUAAUUCCAGCUCCAAUAGCGUAUACUAAAGUUGUUGCAGUUAAAAAGCUCGUAGUUGGAUUUCUGCGGGGACGGAGCGGCCGGACGCAACUUGCGUCUCGAGCUAGCGCUUUCCCCGCAUCCUGCCGCGAACCGUGCUACCAUUAGCUUGGUGGCGCUGGGGAUCGGCUCGAUUACUUUGAGAAAAAUAGAGUGUUCAAAGCAGGCCACACGCCUUGAAUAAGUUAGCAUGGAAUAAUGACUAAGGACUUCGGUUCUAUUUUGUUGGUGUUCGGGACUGAAGUAAUGAUUGAUAGGGACAGUUGGGGCGGUCUGUAUUCCAAAGCGAGAGGUGAAAUUCUUAGACCUUCGGAAGACAAACAGCUGCGAAAGCGUUCCGCAAGGAUGUUCCCUUUGAUCAAGAACGAAAGUUGGGGGAUCGAAGACGAUCAGAUACCGUCGUAGUCUCAACUAUAAACUAUACCAGCUAGGGAUCGGUCAACGUUUAAUCAUUCGACUUGAUCGGCACCUUAUGAGAAAUCAAAGCAUCUGGGUUCCGGGGGGAGUAUGGUCGCAAGGCUGAAACUUAAAGGAAUUGACGGAAGGGCACCACCAGCCGUGGAGCCUGUGGCUUAAUUUGACUCAACACGGGAAAACUUACCAGGUCCAGACAUAGUAAGGAUUGACAGAUUGAUAGCUCUUUCUUGAUUCUGUGGGUGGUGGUGCAUGGCCGUUCUUAGUUGGUGGAGUGAUUUGUCUGGUUAAUUCCGUUAACGAACGAGACCCCAGCCUGCUAAAUAGCGCGGCUGAGCUUUGCUCGGUGCGAGCUUCUUAGAGGGACUAUGAUGCGCGAUAGCACAUGGAAGUUUGGGGCAAUAACAGGUCUGUGAUGCCCUUAGAUGUUCUGGGCCGCACACGGGCUACACUGGCGCCUGCAACGAGCAUAUCAGCUGGCCCGAGAGGGUCUUGGCUAAUCUUUUGAACCGGCGCCGUGCUUGGGAUUGACCAUUGCAAUUGUUGGUCAUGCAACGAGGAAUGCCUUGUAAACGCGAGUCAUCAGCUCGCAUUGAAUACGUCCCUGCCCCUUGUACACACCGCCC
RNAcentral lists this ribosomal RNA (1081 nucleotides) under uncultured Rhizaria. Its description in RNAcentral is "SSU rRNA". It matches the Rfam family "Eukaryotic small subunit ribosomal RNA", at positions 577 to 1674 of the family's 1831-position model. The record is from RNAcentral.